RNAcentral lists this long non-coding RNA (623 nucleotides) under Brassica napus (rape). Its description in RNAcentral is "long non-coding RNA (BNAP_LNC022945)". The record is from RNAcentral. Lineage: Eukaryota; Viridiplantae; Streptophyta; Magnoliopsida; Brassicales; Brassicaceae.
UAUCACGGUUGUAGAGGUAAUGAUUUGUUUGAGCAGAGGUUGAGCAGAGAUUCUUUGCGUCGAAAGUCUUCUUAGUAAGUUGUGCUAAGCGGCAGGUUCUGUUGGCAACAACAACGGUUCAGAGUAAUGUUUAAGGCAAGGUGUUCAUUCAGAUUGUUACAAAGGAAAUUCUCAGAAAGUUGGUGUCUAUAGGCUGUUGAGGUUGGUUAGGAUUGAGUCAAAGAGCUUCUAGUUUGAGGCAGUGGUGAUUCAGGUUCCGCAGGAGCUUCAAGUUAGCAUUGACAUGAGCUGGAAAUUAUGGAGAAGAAUGAGUAGAUUUGUAGUCACGAUCUCAUGACUAUUUUCAAGUAUGACGAGCCAAGGAUGAUGCUGAAAGAUAGGCAUUAUCAGGGAAGAAGCAGUUGGCGUUAGUUUGUGGUAGACAAUGACAAUGUCAGAGACAGAGAAAGAAACGUUCACAGAGGACUAUCUCAAUGCACGUGAUGGUUUCAGGUUUGGAAAAUCAUGAUGAGAGACUUGAAAGGGAUGCAGCGGUAUUUGCAAGAAAAGGAAGACCCGUAAGCUGCAGUAAGAACAGCUACACAGGUGGGCUGUUCGUGAUAUGCAGUUGGAGAUUGAUUUGA